RNAcentral lists this ribosomal RNA (253 nucleotides) under uncultured bacterium. RNAcentral describes it as "partial 16S ribosomal RNA". It matches the Rfam family "Bacterial small subunit ribosomal RNA", at positions 524 to 776 of the family's 1533-position model. The record is from RNAcentral.
UACGGGGGGGGCAAGCGUUGUUCGGAAUUACUGGGCGUAAAGGGCUCGUAGGCGGCCAACUAAGCCGGAUGUGAAAUCCCCAGGCUUAACCUGGGAACUGCAUCCGAUACUGGAUGGCUUGAAUCCGGGAGAGGGAUGCAGAAUUCCAGGUGUAGCGGUGAAAUGCGCAGAUAUCAGGAAGAACACCUAUGGCGAAGGCGGCUCUCUGGGACGGUACUGACGCUGAGACGCGAAAGCGUGGGGAGCGAACAGG